GUGCCAGCAGCCGCGGUAAUACGUAGGGGGCAAGCGUUGUCCGGAAUUAUUGGGCGUAAAGAGCGUGUAGGCGGUCCGGUAAGUCAGCUGUGAAAGUCAAGGGCUCAACCCUUGAAAGCCGGUUGAUACUGUCGGGCUAGAGUCCGGAAGAGGCGAGUGGAAUUCCCGGUGUAGCGGUGAAAUGCGCAGAUAUCGGGAGGAACACCAAUGGCGAAGGCAGCUCGCUGGGACGGUACUGACGCUGAGACGCGAAAGCGUGGGGAGCAAACAGGAUUAGAUACCCUAGUAGUCC
RNAcentral lists this ribosomal RNA (292 nucleotides) under uncultured bacterium. Its description in RNAcentral is "partial 16S ribosomal RNA". It matches the Rfam family "Bacterial small subunit ribosomal RNA", at positions 505 to 796 of the family's 1533-position model. The record is from RNAcentral.